AUGAAUGGAUACGCGGAAUUUCCGCCCAGCCCCAGUAACCCCACCAAGGAGCCCGUGGAGCCCCAGCCCAGCCAGGUCCCACUGCAGGAAGAUGUGGACAUGAGCAGUGGCUCCAGUGGACAUGAGACCAACGAAAACUGCUCCACGGGGCGGGACUCGCAGGGCAGUGACUGUGACGACAGUGGGAAGGAGCUGGGGAUGCUGGUGGAGCCACCGGAUGCCCGCCAGAGUCCAGACACCUUUAGCCUGAUGAUGGCAAAAUCUGAACACAACCCAUCUACAAGCGGCUGCAGUAGCGACCAGUCUUCGAAAGUGGACACACACAAAGAACUGAUAAAAACACUAAAGGAGCUGAAGGUCCACCUCCCUGCAGACAAGAAGGCCAAGGGCAAGGCCAGUACGCUGGCCACCUUGAAGUACGCCCUCAGGAGCGUGAAGCAGGUGAAAGCCAAUGAAGAGUAUUACCAGCUGCUGAUGUCCAGCGAGGGUCACCCCUGUGGAGCAGACGUGCCCUCCUACACCGUGGAGGAGAUGGAGAGCGUUACCUCUGAGCACAUUGUGAAGAAUGCCGAUAUGUUUGCGGUGGCCGUGUCCCUGGUGUCUGGGAAGAUCCUGUACAUCUCUGACCAGGUUGCCUCCAUAUUUCACUGUAAAAGAGAUGCCUUCAGCGAUGCCAAGUUUGUGGAGUUCCUGGCGCCUCACGAUGUGGGCGUGUUCCACAGUUUCACCUCCCCGUACAAACUUCCCUUGUGGAGCAUGUGCAGUGGAGCAGAUUCUUUUACUCAAGAAUGCAUGGAGGAGAAAUCUUUCUUUUGCCGUGUCAGUGUCAGGAAAAGCCACGAGAAUGAAAUCCGCUACCACCCCUUCCGCAUGACGCCCUACCUGGUCAAGGUGCGGGACCAACAAGGUGCUGAGAGUCAGCUUUGCUGCCUUCUGCUGGCAGAGAGAGUGCACUCUGGUUAUGAAGCCCCUAGAAUUCCUCCUGAAAAGAGAAUUUUUACAACCACCCAUACACCAAAUUGUUUGUUCCAGGAUGUGGAUGAAAGUCCUCCAGUCAGGCGGGCAGCCUUUCGACUAUUCUCCCAUUCGGUUUCGCGCCCGGAACGGAGAGUACAUCACGCUGGACACCAGCUGGUCCAGCUUCAUCAACCCAUGGAGCAGGAAAAUCUCCUUCAUCAUUGGGAGGCACAAAGUCAGGGUGGGCCCUUUGAAUGAGGACGUGUUUGCA
This 1228-nucleotide small RNA is filed under the name Pan troglodytes (chimpanzee). RNAcentral's name for it is "processed transcript". The record is from RNAcentral. Lineage: Eukaryota; Metazoa; Chordata; Mammalia; Primates; Hominidae.